GCAGAGUGUGGAGGAGCGGAUUCAGGAGGAGGCUCAGUGUCUGAUAGAGGAGCUUCAGAAAUCCAAGGGAGCCCUCAUGGACCCUACCUUCCUCUUCCAUUCCAUUACCGCCAACAUCAUCUGCUCCAUCGUCUUUGGAAAACGCUUCCACUACCAAGAUCAAGAGUUCCUGAAGAUGCUGAACUUGUUCUGCCAGAGUUUCUCACUCAUCAGCUCUAUAUCCAGCCAGGUCCAGGAGAGGGAGAAGGAGAGGGGGUGGGGGUGAGGUGAACAUCCAGGGCACACGAGAAAAGGAUGACCUGUCUUGGGGGCUCAGAAAUGCAGCUUAUCCCUGGAA
RNAcentral lists this small RNA (337 nucleotides) under Pongo abelii (Sumatran orangutan). Its description in RNAcentral is "retained intron". The record is from RNAcentral. Lineage: Eukaryota; Metazoa; Chordata; Mammalia; Primates; Hominidae.